Molecule: ribosomal RNA, 370 nt
Filed under: uncultured bacterium
Lineage: Bacteria
Description: bacterial SSU rRNA
Rfam family: Bacterial small subunit ribosomal RNA
Source: RNAcentral
GUAGGUCCCGAGCGUUGUCCGGAUUUAUUGGGCGUAAAGCGAGCGCAGGCGGUUAGAUAAGUCUGAAGUUAAAGGCUGUGGCUUAACCAUAGUACGCUUUGGAAGCUGUUUAACUUGAGUGCAAGAGGGGAGAGUGGAAUUCCAUGUGUAGCGGUGAAAUGCGUAGAUAUAUGGAGGAACACCGGUGGCGAAAGCGGCUCUCUGGCUUGUAACUGACGCUGAGGCUCGAAAGCGUGGGGAGCAAACAGGAUUAGAUACCCUGGUAGUCCACGCCGUAAACGAUGAGUGCUAGGUGUUAGACCCUUUCCGGGGUUUAGUGCCGUAGCUAACGCAUUAAGCACUCCGCCUGGGGAGUACGACCGCAAGGUUG